GACGAACGCUGGCGGCGUGCUUAACACAUGCAAGUCGAACGCUGAAGCCCUGGCUUUUGUUGGGUUGGAUGAGUGGCGAACGGGUGAGUAACACGUGAGUAACCUGCCCUCUUCUUUGGGAUAACGCCCGGAAACGGGUGCUAAUACUGGAUAUUCACUGAUCUUCGCAUGGGGGUUGGUGGAAAGGUUUGUUCUGGUGGGGGAUGGGCUCGCGGCCUAUCAGCUUGUUGGUGGGGUGAUGGCCUACCAAGGCUUUGACGGGUAGCCGGCCUGAGAGGGUGACCGGUCACAUUGGGACUGAGAGACGGCCCAGACUCCUACGGGAGGCAGCAGUGGGGAAUAUUGCACAAUGGGCGAAAGCCUGAUGCAGCGACGCCGCGUGAGGGAUGGAGGCCUUCGGGUUGUAAACCUCUUUCGCUCAUGGUCAAGCCGAAACUGUGGGUUGUGGUGAGGGUAGUGGGUAAAGAAGCGCCGGCUAACUACGUG
Molecule: ribosomal RNA, 486 nt
Filed under: uncultured bacterium
Lineage: Bacteria
Description: partial 16S ribosomal RNA
Rfam family: Bacterial small subunit ribosomal RNA
Source: RNAcentral